RNAcentral lists this long non-coding RNA (1015 nucleotides) under Cyanistes caeruleus (blue tit). Its description in RNAcentral is "lncRNA (ENSCCEG00000010793.1)". The record is from RNAcentral. Lineage: Eukaryota; Metazoa; Chordata; Aves; Passeriformes; Paridae.
CCCUGCCACAGCAGGAAAGCAGAGGGGUCCUUUGGAGUGCAAGGAUGGACAUUUUUUAGAAAACACACCCAAGGAGCUCUUUUUAGGUCAGAAUAUGCAUUUUUAAACACUUCCCAUCACGUCCCAGACAUCACAGAGAGGUUUGUGUUUGACAUAGAAACCCUGGAAUGCUCCCACAACUCCUCCAGGCUCGUCCUAAAUCCCUUGGUCCCUCCCUUUUUGGAAGGAGGAGGCAUUUUGUGUCACAGCAGGGGCAGACUGUGGCUCCCUGUUUGGCAAAUCCAGGAGUUUCACAGCGGAGCUGUCGAAGGAAAAGGGAAAACUGGUGAACCACAUAAUUAGUUUUUGAUUCAGUGAUUAAUAUCACUUGCAAACAGGAUUGCUCUCCAGGGGCACACGGAAAUAUCUUCCCAUGGCUGUUUUGGGUGUGCACGGGCAGGCUGUGCCGCUCGGGGACUGCAGGUGCUGAUAAGGGACUUGCCAGCCUGGAGCCAUCAGGUGUGCGUGACAUUAUUGGCACUGCAGACAAGCCCUUGCUGUUUUAUAAAUGGUGCAGUGCUGGAUGGGAGCUCCUGAUGCCAGGGACAGAGCUGCUUCCCAGCUUUUGGGGCUGGCUCAGCUCAUCUGUGCUUUUCUCUGCCAUAUCUCCAGUUUGUUGCGGGGCUUUUCUCUAUGAGGGUUUGCAUUUGCAGAGAUGAGGUUUCCACUCCCCCCACGGCAGAGGGGGUGGAACCAGAUGGUUUUUAAGGUCCCUUCCAACCCAAACCUGGGAUUCUCUGCUGGUAUUACAGCAGACACUGAGGAUCAGCAUCUUUCCUUAGGCCCUUGGAGCAAAAACAGCUCCAAAACAAAAAAGUGAUUUUUAUUUUCCUGAAGCAAUGACUUUCUAGAUUCACUUCAUGGCCAAGCACCUACUGGCAUCCAGGGCUUGAACCUGCUCCUCCCUGCAGGAGUUUGGGUGUGCUGGGUGUUUGCAGAGGUGGGACCAGGAAAAAUAAAACUGAAAGUCACGUCA